AUGGGCUGCUUCCUCGGCUGCUUCGGGGGCGCCAAGUCCAAGAAGGAGCGCCGCCACCGCCGGCGCAAGCAGCGCUCCCCCUCCCACUCCCCCUCCAAGGCCGCCCGCGACGCCGAGGCCGCCUCCGCCGCCGCCCCGCUCCUCGCCACCCUCCUCGAGCUCAGGGAUUCGGCCGAUGACCUGUGCCUGGCCGUCGUCGCCAAGAAGAAGGUGACGUUCGACCCCAACGUGACCGCCUACGAGGCGCCGCCGAUCCCCGAGGGCGAGGAGGCCGCGACAGAGGAGGAGGAGGAGGGCCGCGCCGCGGCGGGCGGCGAGGAGGCGUGGACGCUGCUGGGGCCCGAGUGCGCGAAAUCAGAGGCGUUCCCGCUCAACCACAGGUACGGCAACUGCGCCGGCGCCGACGACGACAGCGACUACGAGGACUGCUACGACGACGACGACGACGAUGAGUACGAUGACGAUGAGGACGACGAAGAGGAGGAGGGCUUGGACGGGAUCGACGAGUGCGCGGUGGACGACGACGAGGAGCAAGGCGGGCUUCUGGGCAUCGCGCGCGGCGAGGAGGAGGCGUGCGAGUCGCUCUUCCUGCUCCCGGCGCCCAGGACCACCAAGGACAGCGCCGCUGCCGCUCAGACCGGAGCAGCAGCUGAGGCAACCGCCGCGCUCAGCUCGGUGGAGAACUUCAGCCAGUGGAAGGACGCCAAGCCACACACCGCCGCGCCCAAGGAUUCAGAGAAGGAGAACAUCGUCAGGCUCUCCGACUCGGCGACGGCCCCUGAUAUGAAAAAAGAGAAGCCGGCGGUGAGCUGGGACUACACCCCCAGGACGCCGAGCAAGCAGGAGGCCUCGGUGGACGCGAGCCUCUCCACGUGGCUGGGCUCCUCGGGGACGCCGGAGAGCAACUACUCGGUGCGGUCCUACUCGCCGAUCAGCCGGGAGGACCGGCCCAUCCUCGGCGCCCUCACCGUGGAGGACAUCAAGAUCUCCUCGGCCAACUCGUCGCCGAGGCGGUCGCGGUCCCCGAGCCCGAGCCCCGACGACAUGCCGAUCCUGGGCACCGUGGGGGCUUACUGGAACUGCAGCGAUGCCAAGGGCGGCAGUGAUGAUUCGGUGACGAGAGGCGGGUUCAUGAAGACCAGGAGCAGAUUUGGGCAGAACUUGGCAUGA
This 1170-nucleotide ribosomal RNA is filed under the name Triticum aestivum (bread wheat). RNAcentral's name for it is "partial small subunit ribosomal RNA". Lineage: Eukaryota; Viridiplantae; Streptophyta; Magnoliopsida; Poales; Poaceae. The record is from RNAcentral.